GUUUGAUCCCGGCUCAGGAUCAACGCUGGCGGCGCGCUUAACACAUGCAAGUCGAGCGGAAAGGCCCUUCGGGGUACUCGAGCGGCGAACGGGUGAGUAACACGUGAGUAACCUGCCCUGGACUUUGGGAUAACCCUCGGAAACGGGGGCUAAUACCGAAUAUCCACGGUCUACCGCAUGGUGGGUUGUGGAAAGUUUUUCGGUCUGGGAUGGGCUCGCGGCCUAUCAGCUUGUUGGUGGGGUGAUGGCCUACCAAGGCGACGACGGGUAGCCGGCCUGAGAGGGCGACCGGCCACACUGGGACUGAGACACGGCCCAGACUCCUACGGGAGGCAGCAGUGGGAAUAUUGCACAAUGGGCGGAAGCCUGAUGCAGCGACGCCGCGUGAGGGAUGACGGCCUUCGGGUUGUAAACCUCUUUCAGCAGGGACGAAGCGAGAGUGACGGUACCUGCAGAAGAAGCGCCGGCCAACUACGUGCCAGCAGCCGCGGUAAGACGUAGGGCGCGAGCGUUGUCCGGAUUUAUUGGGCGUAAAGAGCUCGUAGGCGGCUUGUCGCGUCGGCUGUGAAAUCCCGUGGCUCAACUGCGGGCUUGCAGCCGAUACGGGCAGGCUAGAGUUCGGUAGGGGAGACUGGAAUUCCUGGUGUAGCGGUGAAAUGCGCAGAUAUCAGGAGGAACACCGGUGGCGAAGGCGGGUCUCUGGGCCGAUACUGACGCUGAGGAGCGAAAGCGUGGGGAGCGAACAGGAUUAGAUACCCUGGUAGUCCACGCUGUAAACGUUGGGCGCUAGGUGUGGGGGGCCUCUCCGGCUCUCUGUGCCGCAGCUAACGCAUUAAGCGCCCCGCCUGGGGAGUACGGCCGCAAGGCUAAAACUCAAAGGAAUUUACGGGGGCCCGCACAAGCGGCGGAGCAUGCGGAUUAAUUCGAUGCAACGCGAAGAACCUUACCUGGGUUUGACAUCACCGCAAAACUUCCAGAGAUGGGAGGUCCUUCGGGGGCGGUGACAGGUGGUGCAUGGCUGUCGUCAGCUCGUGUCGUGAGAUGUUGGGUUAAGUCCCGCAACGAGCGCAACCCUCGUUCGAUGUUGCCAGCGGGUUAUGCCGGGGACUCAUCGAAGACUGCCGGGGUCAACUCGGAGGAAGGUGGGGAUGACGUCAAGUCAUCAUGCCCCUUAUGUCCAGGUCUUCACGCAUGCUACAAUGGCCGGUACAAUGGGCUGCGAUACCGUGAGGUGGAGCGAAUCCCAAAAAGCCGGUCUCAGUUCGGAUCGGGGUCUGCAACUCGACCCCGUGAAGUCGGAGUCGCUAGUAAUC
RNAcentral lists this ribosomal RNA (1313 nucleotides) under metagenome. RNAcentral's name for it is "bacterial SSU rRNA". It matches the Rfam family "Bacterial small subunit ribosomal RNA", at positions 11 to 1343 of the family's 1533-position model. The record is from RNAcentral.